This 67-nucleotide small RNA is filed under the name Bacillus sp. MUM 13. RNAcentral describes it as "Bacillaceae-1 RNA". It matches the Rfam family "Bacillaceae-1 RNA". The record is from Rfam by way of RNAcentral. Lineage: Bacteria; Bacillati; Bacillota; Bacilli; Caryophanales; Bacillaceae.
GUCAGAGGAUCAAAGAUUAAAAACACCGCGUCCUGCGGUAACGUCUUUGUGACCCCCAUCCUGGGGG